UGUGACAUUUGGGUUAUUUCUGUAACGAGCUGCCGGUGACAAUGAUGAUGAUGGUGGUGAUGGUGGUGGUGGCUGUGAGUAUUUACUGAGCCUGUGGAUUAUCUCUUUUAUUCCCUCUGACAGCCUAGGAGGAAAAGUGUUGUUAUAGUCCUUAUUUUACAGAUAAAGAAACUGUCAGCUCAUCAUUGGCAGUCUGUCUCACUGACCUUUACCCUUUACCUUUCCACCCCAGGUACCAGGCUCUGUGGGAGUCUUCUCUGAACUCCAGCCACACUGCCCUCUACUUGAUGAGUACUAGGUGGUCAGACCCUCAGAAGCAACCACAAAAGAGCUUCCCCAGAAGAAGCAAGGUCAUAAUCUCAGACACCUCCAGAAGCCGCCCAUGGUCCUAUCAACAAAUCGUUCAAACUGGAGGAGGCAAUAGAAGUGGUGUUUGGAAAUGUCUCCCCGUGCCCUUCUGGCAGUCAACCUGCUCCCCUGAGCUUCCCACCAGUUCAGUGUGAGUCAGUGUUGUGGAUAAGCUACCUCACUCUUCAUUACCAUUUCCUUGCAGACUGGUCUGAAGCCAUUGUGGAGUAAAGGAAAUAAAAAGCAUUAACUAUGAAGCAAAAUUUGCUCCAAAGGAAAGUUAAAAAUGUUUACAAAGUACAUCUAGCCCCUCACAAAUUUUUAUAAAGAUUAAAUUGGCUGCUCUCAGAAAAGUUUACUGUGAGACCCACUGCCUUGGUUUUCCCCAUCUACAAAAUGGGAACAACACCAUGAUCUUUUUUGGUGCCUCUUGAGGACAAGGGGGAUGGAAGUCAGGUCUAUCUUCGGCUGAGAAGACAAGCUUUGCAGAGAGUCUUCUCCUUAUAGCCCUUUCUCUUCAGCUUCCUUUGAAAGCCCUGCCCACUUCUCCUGAGCCCGCAGAUCUGCAGCUGUUGCCUGAGAGUGAGAGGACAAAGCAAUAACAUCAGCUAGGUGGUGUGCUUGCUGCUUUGUCUAAAGAGCACUGUAUCGCCAGCCAGCCUGGGUUUUGUUUUCUUUCUAAGAAUGAAGAAUGGAAGGAGGAUGGAAGGAACAGAACUCCUGGACCCUGAAACAGGAAACUCUUCAUCCUCUUGCCAUCUGUGCUUAAAAGACCCAUGAAAGCAUGUCUGUAGAAGCAUUGCGUGAAACGAGAGCUAAGAGGUACUUACAGGUUCUGUGACGUCAGCUGUGCCUUAUCGGUAUGUCUUUAAAAAAUACACAAGUGCAGGAGAGAAUUCCCCAGCAAUCAUGCCCACCACCCAUCCCAAGUUUUUUCAGCCCAGACUUAAAACAGCAGGUCAGUGAUUAGGUGGGCUUCCUUUGGUGAAGAGAAAGCACGCCCCCAUGACAUUCAGCUGAGUUCCAAGGUUGCUUUGGCUGAGUCUGAUGUUGAGUGACUAGAAGAGUGACCAGUUUCUGGAAUUUUUUGUAGAAUGAAGGAGGCUGGACAUCCUGUGUUGUGUCCAGAAAAUGGAUGGAGAAGCUCAGUGUGGUACCUGCCGGUCAGUAGGGCUUUGUGCCUUAUGACGAGGUAUUCUGAGUUGGUUGCAGCCUGGCUAUGGACAAAGACACACAUUGUCUGAUUUUGAGGCUCCCAUAUUAGCAGUAAGGAAACUGAGGCAUGGGGUGAAUGGAAGCAUGUGGACAUAUUCUAAGGCUGUUGAAUGCAGGAGCCACAUCUUCAUAUCCGUGCUGAUGUCCACCUUCCACCACAUUGACAUUCAUAUGGGGAAGGGGUCCUUGGUCUUUCUAUGUCCUAGAUGGACCUCUUCUCAUAAUAUCAUCUUUAAAUACUUAUGUUAAGAUACCUAGGAUCUUAAAAGUGCUUUAUCUGAAGUGUCAGGGAUAUUUGUCUAAGUAUUACUUAUUCCAUUUCAUCCGUAAGUUAUUACACAUAGAAUUUUUUUAAACAGUGUUACCAAGGAAGGUGCAUGGACCCCCUGAAUUCUCCCCUCUGCCUUGGUCCAUCCCACCUUCCUGUUCCUCUGAAUAACUCCCUACCCCAAGCAUGUGAGCCCAUUCAUUUGCAGGAAAGCUGCUCCUGCCCCCAGGACUCAGAGGCAUUUUUUGAAGUGUGCUGCAAAUGGCCAGAGUCCCAGAGGAAUUCACUAGCUCCAGUUGAUCUUGGGCUUGUUUAGGAGCUAACAGAGGUGGGUCCUUGAGCUCCUCCAAUAAUGACAUUCUGUAAAAGUCAUGUCAAUGGUGUGCCUAGGUCUAGAGUCUGGGGAGCGCACCUUCCAGGAGACAACUACUCCCAGCCACCAGAAACUGUCAGAAAGAUUUAGACUUGUGAUUUGUCCUUCACUUUUGCUAGUGAUCUCUAAAUAAUGGCUGAGUAAUCUCCUAACAGACUGUGAACAUGACAUUGCAGCGAGCCAUCGCAGGUGGGUGAGCACAGGUGUGAGUGUGUGCACCAGUAUUUCCCCCAACUCAGGGCUGUGAGUGCAGGA
Canis lupus familiaris (dog) is the source of this 2459-nucleotide long non-coding RNA. RefSeq lists it as uncharacterized. The record is from RefSeq and is a predicted model, not a curated record. The transcript has 2 exons. Lineage: Eukaryota; Metazoa; Chordata; Mammalia; Carnivora; Canidae.